RNAcentral lists this transfer RNA (77 nucleotides) under Terriglobia bacterium. RNAcentral's name for it is "tRNA-Arg". It matches the Rfam family "tRNA". From Rfam's summary of the family: Transfer RNA (tRNA) molecules are approximately 80 nucleotides in length. Their secondary structure includes four short double-helical elements and three loops (D, anti-codon, and T loops). The record is from RNAcentral. Lineage: Bacteria; Pseudomonadati; Acidobacteriota; Terriglobia.
GGACCCGUAGCUCAACUGGAUAGAGCACUGCGCUUCGAACGCAGCGGUUGGGAGUUCAAGUCUCUCCGGGUCCGCCA